GUAUAUAAGACAUUACAAGCUUCCCUUAGUUGCAAAAAAAGACCACAUGAUCGAAUUUUUCGUUACUCUCUACGGCGUAACAACCAUUGCUGGUGUGGCUAUAUGGGUUUACAUGUUCAAGAAGAUCCCCGAAAGUCCUUACGAAGGCGGUGCCAUGAGUAUUUCUCAUAUGUGCGGCGUUGUUUUACUCACUCUCUUCCUCUAUUCAAUUUCUCUUAUCUUUGCUCUCUGUUUUGGUAUACCGUCUUUCUCAUGGUUUUUACUCA
Arabidopsis thaliana (thale cress) is the source of this 266-nucleotide long non-coding RNA. RefSeq annotates it as other RNA. The record is from RefSeq. Lineage: Eukaryota; Viridiplantae; Streptophyta; Magnoliopsida; Brassicales; Brassicaceae. The transcript has a single exon.